Non-coding RNA from Nicotiana tabacum (common tobacco), 2443 nucleotides. The record is from RefSeq and is a predicted model, not a curated record. Lineage: Eukaryota; Viridiplantae; Streptophyta; Magnoliopsida; Solanales; Solanaceae.
UUGUGUUCUACCACAUUAAGGGAAGAAAACCUAUUUCAAAUGAAUCGGAACAAUCCUGUAAUCCGUAAUAAGCUGGAAAGGAUUUUUCCAUAUGGUUUCUUUGAUGUGAUUGAACACCUUCCAAUUCACCUUGUACACGAGGCGCGACUUGGAGGCCCAGAUCAAUGCAGGUGGAUGUAUCCAUUCGAGAGGACUAUCGGCAAGUGUAAACGAUUUGUUAAAAAGAGGAAUAGGAUUGAAGGAUCCAUAUGCGAAGCCUAUCUUGCAAAGGAAACUGCCCAUUUUUGUUCUUACUACUUUGACAGUCAUGUUCCAUGUGCUAGAAAUAGGCCCAAUCGGCACAAUGUGAUGAUUGAGAUUGAUCCAUUAUAUCCACCAAUGUCCGUAUUCAAUCAACCAGGCCGAGGUUCUAAAGAUCGAACAAAAAGGGGCCUAAGUAGUAUGGAGUACAAAUCAGCUUCAAAUCAUGUGUUGCUAAAUUGUCCGGAAGUUCAACCCUUUCUUAAUGACUUCGUGAGUCAAUUUGGUCAUGGUGCUGUAUAUUCUACAUUUGAGGCAUAGUUUAAAGAGUGUGUCAAUAAUUCAAACAACUGUGUUUUUCAAUUUUUGAAAGACAUAUCUUGGGGACCUGCACCUACGGUUACGACUAUGUCUAAGUAUUAUAUGAAUGGUUACAAAUUUCACACUGAGGAAUGCUCCAAGUAUAAAAAAAGCAAUAACAGUGGGGUGUGUGUCAAAGGUGGUGAAGGCAACCAGGAUGGGGAAAAUGAUUUUUAUGGUGUGAUCAAAGAAUCGUCAUAUUCAGAUGGCCGGUAGUGGUCGAGGUAGGUCUAGGAAGGAUAAAAGGCCUAUUGAUCAUGAUGAUGGUGCUACACCCACGAUUCCUUCCACUCCACACUUGCAUCCAUUCCACCACAUCCAUCUACUCAUCAUACUACCCACCAUUCGCCCGCCCAACAAUAUUAUCACUAUUCUCCGCCACAGGGCUAUACCCCGCUUCUUCUUCAUGAUCCUACCAGUACUAACAUGGGUGCAUUGAGUCACCAGUCACAGAGCCAUAUGGUACGCCCAUCAUCUGCUCCAUUUUCUUCAUCUCCAACUGGAUCGCAUCCAUCUAGAUUUCAGCCGGCCGGAUCACAAUAGUGGUCUGGAUCGCAAUAGGGGUCUAGAUCGAUGCAGGGGUGUAGAUCGUAGCCAUCUUCAUCAGGGACCCCGUCUCCCUCUCCACGGAGUUCGUCUCCUAGCAUUUCUAGACUUCGUCUUCGGGAUAGUAGCACUGAGCCAGAUGCCCCCCUUCUGCGCACACUUCAGAUUCAUCGGAGAAUGAUGAUCCAGAUGAUGUGCGUUAUGAUCGUUAUCAUAGGAUCAUCAUCAGGCCUAAGGGAAAUGGGUUCAUUCCUAAUCAUCAGGUUACAAAGAUAAUCACUGAUAUUCUUGGCGGGUUGUAUAAUGCACCUUAUCCGACUUGGAGUGACUUUACAGAGGAUCUUGUGCAGCAAAUGUUCAACCAAUUUAAGACUAAGUGUACCUGGGAGGAUCGGUAUAAACGUGAAAUUUGUAAAAAUUGGGAGUACAAAUGACGUAAGAGACUCUCUGAUUCCUUCAGCUCCGCUCGAAAGGUUAAAAAGAAGCCUUCAUGGGUUCUACCGGAUGUAUGGGUGGAUCUGCAAAGGUAUUGUGACACCGAGAAAUUUGAGAAGCAGAGUAAACUGGGAAAGAAGGCCCGAGCAUCUGAGAAGGGUGGCUCCUUGCACUGUCUGGGUUUAAGGAGCAUGUGGGAUACGAGGAGACAACUAGAAAUAUAAUAUGGGAGGAAGAUGAGUCAUGAUGAGUUCUUCAUGGAGACUCACAUCCGGAAGAAGAAGGCACCGACAGAUCCAACUAGAUGGUUCGAGGACCGGGCAGAGACUACACAUGGUCGCUACAAGAUUAAUUUGGUGGAGUACACUCAGAGCUUGCCACCGAAUGAACAAGGCGCGCGACCGCCCAUUUUAGACGAAGAAGCGCAGAGAAUAUGUUUGGAUGUUGUCGAUGGUCCUAAAAAGAGGAUAGCAUACGACCUUCCAGAUAAAUCAUUUCGGCGCUACAGGGCUGGAUUGCAAGGUAUAAGGACUUCCGCCCAAGGCGAGGCGAUUGAUAGGUCGACUAUAUCGUCUAUGGAACAGAAGAUCGCAAAGCUGACAGCAGAGCUUGAAGAGACAAAGGCUAGAGAAAAAAAGAGAGAUGAACAAUUUGGUACCCUUAAAGUUCAGCUAGAAAGGAGGGACGAAUAAUUUAAUCUCCUUCAAGGUCAGCUGGCCAAUCUUCUUGCUAGUGGUGCUUUCCCCAUUCCUUGGUCUCGUGAUCCUUCCCCAUGUGUCGAUGAUGGAGGUUCUAGGAGUGAAGAUAGAGAUGACGCUAAAUAAAAAACUCAUUGAAUGGUGUGUAUUGCUAAACAAAGUAU